AGUGAACGCUGGCGGCGUGCCUAAUACAUGCAAGUCGAACGGAGUGGCGCACGGGUGAGUAAUAUAUAGCUAAUCUGCCCCUUGCUGGAGGACAACAGUUAGAAAUGACUGCUAAUACCCCAUAGCAAGGAAGGAGACUAUAUCGUAUCAGCUAGUCGGUGGGGUAACGGCCUACCGUGGCUAUGACGCGUAACUGGUCUGGGAGGAUGAUCAGUCACGUUGGAACUUAGACACGGUCCAAACUCCUACGGGGGGCAGCAGUUGGGAAUAAUGCGCAAUGGGGGAGACCCUGACGCAGCAACGGCGCGUGGAGGUGUAAACUUUUCGGAGCGUAAACUCCUUUUGUUAGGGAAGCGGUAGCUAACGAAUAAGCGCCGGCUAACUCCGUGCCAGCCGCCGCGGUAAUUC
This 408-nucleotide ribosomal RNA is filed under the name uncultured bacterium. RNAcentral describes it as "partial 16S ribosomal RNA". It matches the Rfam family "Bacterial small subunit ribosomal RNA", at positions 29 to 526 of the family's 1533-position model. The record is from RNAcentral.